This 1530-nucleotide ribosomal RNA is filed under the name Triticum aestivum (bread wheat). RNAcentral describes it as "partial small subunit ribosomal RNA". Lineage: Eukaryota; Viridiplantae; Streptophyta; Magnoliopsida; Poales; Poaceae. The record is from RNAcentral.
AUGGAGCUCACGGCCUGGCCACCGCUCCUCUUGCUCAUCACUCUCUCACUCUCGCUCGCAGCUUGGCUCCUCUUCUUGCUCAGCAGCCGCCACGGCGUCGAGAAGAAGGCGACCGGUAAGGAGCUCCCCCCGGGCCCGCCGGCGCUAGUCUUCCUGGCUAAGUUCCUAGCGCUCCGGCGAUCCAUCUUCCACCUUGAGCCGCUCCUCCGCGAGCUGCACGCGCGCUACGGCCCCGUCAUCUCCAUCCGCCUCUUCCGCGCCCUCGUCUUCGUCUCCGACCGCCGCCUCGCCCACCGCGUUCUCGUCCAGGGCGGCGCCACCUUUGCCGACCGCCCGAGGCUCUUCGAGCCGGGGCUCCUCUUCACCUCCGGCUCCCGCAACAUCAACGCCGCGCCCUACGGGCCUUACUGGCGCCUUGUCCGCCGCAACCUCGCCUCCGAGGCGCUGCACCCGGCCUGCGUCAGCCAGUUCGCGCCCGCCAGGCGCCGGAUGCGCGACGUGCUCGUCCGCGACCUCCGCGCGCGCGGCGCCGGCGGCGACCCCGUCGAGGUGAGGACGCCGUUCCGGAACGCCAUGUUCGACCUGCUCGUGUACAUGAGCCUCGGCGCCCGGCUCGCCCCGGAGCUGCUCGACGAGAUGCAGGAGAUGCAGCUGUGGGUCGUCCGCACCAUCACCAGCUUCCCCAUCUUUUCCUUCUUCCCGGCGCUCACCAAGAGGCUCUUCCGCAAGCGAUGGGAAGCGCACCUUGCCGUCCGCCGGAGGCAGGACGAGAUCUUGCUCCCGAUGAUCGAAGCACGGCGCUCCGCUUCCGUGCCCCGCGGCGCCGAUGACCCGCCGUGCUACGCCGACUCGCUCCUAGCGCUGCGCGUGGCCGACGAAGGCGGCCGCCCGCUCACGGACUCUGAGCUCGUCAGUCUCUGCUCCGAGUUCUUGAGCGGCGGCACGGACAGCACCGUGACCUCGCUGGAGUGGAUCAUGGGGGAGCUGGUGAACCAUCCGGACAUGCAGGCCAAGGUCUACGAGGAGGUCAGGAGCAAGCCGGAGCUCAGCGAAGGCGACCUGCAGCGGAUGCCGUACCUGAAGGCCGUGGUCCUCGAGGGGCUACGGCUCCACCCGCCGGCUCACUUCCUCCUCCCUCACGGCGUGCAUAGCGACACGGAGAUCGGCGGCUAUAGGGUCCCCAAGGGCGCGGAGGUCAACUUCCUGGUCGCCGAGUUCGGGCGAGACGAGACGGUGUGGGCGGCGGCGCGGGAGUUCCGGCCGGAGCGGUUCCUGGACGGCGGCGAGGGGUGCGGCGUGGACAUCACGGGGAGCAGGGAGAUCAAGAUGAUGCCCUUCGGAGCGGGCCGCAGGAUGUGCCCGGGAUAUACGCUCGCCAUGCUGCACUUGGAGUUCUUCGUCGGGAGCCUCGUGAGGGAGCUGGAGUGGCUGCCGGCGGUGGACGGGGAGGAGGUGGACAUGACCGAGGUGCUGGAUUUCACCACCCUCAUGAAGAAUCCCCUCCGUGUUCGCGCCAUCCCAAGGACUUGA